UAUGCCUACGGGAGGCAGCAGUGAGGAAUAUUGGUCAAUGGGCGAGAGCCUGAACCAGCCAAGUCGCGUGAGGGAGUACUGCACUAUGGGUUGUAAACUUCUUUUGUCGGGGAACAAAGGCGGAGACGCGUCUCCGGAUGAGUGUACCCGAAGAAAAAGCAUCGGCUAACUCCGUGCCAGCAGCCGCGGUAAUACGGAGGAUGCGAGCGUUAUCCGGAUUUAUUGGGUUUAAAGGGUGCGCAGGCGGGAG
This 250-nucleotide ribosomal RNA is filed under the name uncultured bacterium. Its description in RNAcentral is "partial 16S ribosomal RNA". It matches the Rfam family "Bacterial small subunit ribosomal RNA", at positions 334 to 581 of the family's 1533-position model. The record is from RNAcentral.